Molecule: long non-coding RNA, 198 nt
Organism: Xiphophorus hellerii (green swordtail)
Lineage: Eukaryota; Metazoa; Chordata; Actinopteri; Cyprinodontiformes; Poeciliidae
Exons: 3
Source: RefSeq, a predicted model, not a curated record
GGUCCCCAUCUCUAGUAGUCAGUGAGCAAGAAGGAAGCAACCAUGCACACCCACACCAAUUAAGCGAACAGUCAUGUUUUUGGAUUGUGGGAGGAAGCUGGAGUACCUAGAGAGAACCCACUCAUGCAUAGGGAGAACAUGCAAACUUCAUGUAGAAAAACCCAGGCUGGGAUUUGAUGCCAAGACCUUCUUCCUGCA